This is a long non-coding RNA of Macrobrachium nipponense, 4018 nucleotides long. RefSeq lists it as uncharacterized. The transcript is spliced from 3 exons. The record is from RefSeq and is a predicted model, not a curated record. Lineage: Eukaryota; Metazoa; Arthropoda; Malacostraca; Decapoda; Palaemonidae.
AUAUAUAUAUAUAUUACUAUCCUCCUCAUUUCAUCUUUUGGAAGUGGUCCCCCAUAAGGCUAAAAGAUAUUUGUGGGUGGGGGGGGGGAGGGGGUGUCUCUCACCCAACCUUAAAUUCCGCAUAUAUAAUUUUUGGGCAAUGCCCCCACCCCCCCUCCCACCCAACCCCUAAUUCUUUUUAUAGAGGACUUUUUAUCCUUUUUAAUCUCCACCUUCUGCCGUCUUUAUUUUUUCCUUUCCUUUAUUCUUUCACUUUAUUUCUUUCUGUGUCUCUUUUUAUUGCAAUUUUCAUUUGUCGUCAUUUCGUUGCAAAGAGAUUUUGUGGAUUUUUUUUUUUUAGGAAAAAUAUUUAAAAAAAUAUAUGGCCUCCUCCUCCUCCUCCUCCUCCUCCUCCUCCUCCUCCUCCUCCUCCUCCUCCUCCAGGGAGUGUUGUCCAACCCAUGGGGACCCAGUGGGUGUCCUACCCCUGGAUAUAGCAAGGGAUGGGCGCCCCCUCUGUCAUCGUACCUAACCCUUCCCCCUAACCCCCGUCUUUAAGUUACAGACACUGAUAAAAAAAUGAUUUAUUUAUAUAAUAAAUAAAUCAAUUUCAAAUUAUUAAAAUAUAGAUUAUAAUAAUUGAUUAAUAUAUACGAUCAUUAUAAAAUAAUGUUGAAUUAUACGUUAUGUGAGUCAUUAUAUAUAUACAAAUAUAUAUUCUCUCUCUGUCUCUGUCUCUCUCUCUCUCUCUCUCUCUCUCUCUCUCUCAGCUGUUCCUCUUCCUCUACCACGCCAAGGAACCUCUCUCUUUUUUUUCUUCUUUCCUCAUUACGGUUUCCACCUGUCUUGCUCUCAAUAGCUGACCCAACGGAGAAAGUCUCUCUCUUCUCUCUCUCUCUCUCUCUCUCUCUCUCUCUCAGAGCCGGCUGGUUUUCACCAACUUCUCGUUACCGCCUCAGAGUUUAACAACUCGGGUCGUUAAUGGCGCCUUUUUGUUGGGGAGGGGGGUUCCGCCCCUUUUUGUACGUUCCUACGGACGCCUUGGCCUUACGUACGUAAGUACGUCUGUCCUUGUCUGGUUUGUCCGUCCCUAGGCCCGUUUACGAAGCAUUCUAUGCAGGUAUUUGUCAAUAUAGGCCUAUAGAUUUAUAUAUAUGGUGCCACUAGCUGCUCAUCUAAGCCUAAGCAAUGAAUUGUGUAUCCGGUGGUUAGUCGACUGCUGUGUAGGAUUGGAGAUGGAGAAGGGUGUGGGGCUUGCAACCUCUUCCCACUUUACUAAUUAAUACAGCUGUAUAAACUUCUACGAGUGUUUGAGCAUCAUAAAUUCAAAUAUAGGUUGGUUUUAUCACGUGUCAUGUAGGUCAAGGGGUCUCUCUCUCUCUCUCUCUCUCUCUCUCUCUCUCUCUCUCUCUCUCUCUCUGCAAAUUAAAAAAAAACAAUAUGGAGACAUUCUUCAUCAUCAUCAUUCAUUAUAUCAUUAUUACUGUUCCUUCAUGGAAUAGCGAAGAGUGAUUCGCGCAAAAGGGAAAAAAGUUAUUAUAACUGUCACUAUUAUUCUUUUGUCUAGGCCUAGUAGUCUUAAUUGUGUAACUGGCACUGUUACGGAACAGUGGAGCUUCACUUUACCAUGUCAUAUUGAUAUAUUCAUUUCUAAGGAACUCUAUUGUAAGGUAUAAUUUGAUAUAGUUAAUGUAAUUGUCAUUAUUAUUGUUGUUAGUUUGUGUAGGCCUAGAAGGAAUUAUGUAACUGGCACUCACUUCACAAACAGUUCACGGGAGGUUCAAAGCUUUAUUCCCUUUGUUUAUUUGUUUGUUUGUUUGUUUAUAAUCUGCUUCUGUGAGCAGAAAAACUGCUGAUAUUUUUUUCUUUUUAGCAAAUAGCUAUACUUGUUUUCAAAUCCGUCGAAUUAGGACAAAAAACUUAAACAAACACACAAAACAGCAAUGAAUUUGGACCCCUAAACUGUAGGAUUACCUAUAUUUCUAAGGAACUUUAAUCAUAAGGUAUAAUUUAAUCUUCAGUUAAUACCGAAUUGCACUACUAGGUAUGUUUUCAACAGGCUUACCGAGAUGGUGUAUAAGAAAUGGUUUAGUUACCAACUAAACCGUUUUCUUUUAUGUAACAGAGCACGAGAAUUCUAACGCGGUCUCAAAUAAUUUACAAUUCUUCUCUCUCUCUCUCUCUCUCUCUCUCUCUCUCUCUCUCUCUCUCUCUCUCCUCUCUCUCUCUCUCUCUCUCUCUCCUGGGUAAAUCUGUAGUUACGAUAAAAGAUAACAAUCACAGUUAUUGGCAAAGUAUUUGUGGGCCUAUUUAGAGAGAUCUUGUUCGCAGUGAGACUUUUCUCUCGAAUGACAGUUUCACAGUAAUCAUGUAAUGUAGAAUCGAAAUGCAUCACUUUGAUUUGUGUUCAAAUUUUUACUUAUAAAUGCUUACAGGUUAUGUUUCUAGUCUUGCAAGGGGCAAUGGUACGUCAACGAAGCGGAAAUCAGUCCAAUAUUGAAAGCACUGCUUUUGACUUAAUCAAGAAAUCGAGAGAAAAUGGACCCCUUUUGACAAGAAGUUUUCUUUGGAGUUUCAAGUGUAGGAUGAAAUGGGCUGUUGUCAUUAGCCUAUAACAAGAUGCUAUACAAAGCCUUCAGCCAAUGGAAGAAGUGGUUAUUCAGCAACGGGGCCAACGGCUUGACGUGACUUCCGAAACCACGUCGAGAGUGAACUUCUAUCACGAGAGAAAUACACAUCUCUCACUCCUCAAUGGAAUGGCCGAGAAUCGAACCCGCGACCACCGAGGUGGGACCCCAACACCAUAACAACCACGCCACUGAAGCGUGUUCACAAGAUAUGUGUCAAACGGUGUAAACUUAAGAUCUUCGAAAGAGUGUUGCUUUUAAAUAAGUAAUGAUAUUUAGUGAAUUCUUUUAUCCAGUAAUCAACUCUAGCCUCCCCUUCUAUUAGUAAUUUGACAGCAAUUAUAUAUUUUCCAGUAUAUUAAAUCAUGGUUGUCAUAAGUAAUGUUCCUGAUACAACCUAUUUUAUACAACCAUGACUGGUAACUGAACGUACUUUAAUUCGUAAAUCUAACAUUUGAAAGACUUUCAUUUACGUAAAACCAAACCAUAUAAAAAUCCACCUGUUUUCUGCAACGUAUUUCACAUAUUUCAAUUUGUAAUUUUGACAGCCGAGUUUUCCAAAGGUUACAAAAAUUUCCAAUCAGUUUAUGAGUUCCAUAAACUUCAGUGUUUUAUGUUAGUGUUAUAGAUUGACUGAAUAAGCUGCAUUUUCUACGUUCGUAUCAGAACUAACUUUCGUCGUUUUUACAGAUAUGCAGGAGACUGAGAACCAUUGGAACCCAAAGUAAAUUAUACUGCCUCUAAAUUGGAGUACAUUGACCACUGGAUUCAGUUAAAAGGUACAUCUUUCAGUAACUGAAAGGCUGUAGGGGUCUGUAGGGGUAUAUACAAAGGCGUCAACCCUGAAGAAAGGUAUUUGAAAGAUAUGCUACAAAGAUCUACUUGAGAGCACUUUGCCUGUGACUAAACGUUUGCUACAAAAGUCUGUGGAAGACAAGUUGCUUUGAAGAUUUGUGCAAGGGAAGCUCCUGAGAGAAUAGUUUUUUUUACCACAAGAAAUGCUAUGAAGGUUUGUGUAAAAGAAACAAAGGCAAGCUGCCAUAGUGCAAGGGAAGACCUAAAUCAAAACUGCUGUAAAGCUCUGCUUCAUUUUUUAUUUAGGUCUUGCCUUACACAUCAUGGUAGUUUUACCUUUAGAGAUAUGUCUUGCACAGACCCUCGUAAUGUAUCUUGUGGCCAAUGUUCUCUCUAGCAUUAAUCUCAGAACAAUUUACUGUUCUCAGAAUCUUCCCUUGCCCUAUCUUCUUUGACUUGUACUUAAAUGAAAAUUAGUCAGUUGUUUAGGAUUUUUUCAUUUUGCCUGUUGUUUAGGACUUUCUGAGUUGAGAAACACCAGAGCAAGCAAUGAAUGUUUCAGAUAACGAAGAAAUAAGACACCUGUACUGAGAGUAUAAAUAAAAGAACGGAUGUUA